RNAcentral lists this long non-coding RNA (720 nucleotides) under Nicotiana benthamiana. Its description in RNAcentral is "long non-coding RNA (NBEN_LNC031727)". Lineage: Eukaryota; Viridiplantae; Streptophyta; Magnoliopsida; Solanales; Solanaceae. The record is from RNAcentral.
CCAAAUAAGCUCAUAGGUUGUCUUAACCAUUGCUCUAUACUCGGCUUCUGCACUUGAUAAGGCAACAACAUUCUGCUUCUUACUCUUCCAAGAGACUAGAUUUCCUCCAACAAAAACAGGUUGUCUUAGCCAUAGCUCUAUACUCGGCUUCUGCACUUGAUAAGGUAACAACAUUCUGCUUCUUACUGUUCCAAGAGACUAGAUUUCCUCCAACAAAAACACAGUAUCCUGUAGUGGAUCACCUAACAAUAGGAGAUCCAGCCCAAUCUGCAUCACAUUAUCCUAUCACCUCUGUGUUUCCCCUAUCUUCAUAGAUUAGCCCUUGUCCUGGAGCUUUCUUGAUGUAUUUCAGAAUUCGAAUAGCAGCAUCCUAGUGACUUAGGCGAGGAUCUUGUAGAAAUUGACUCACUACACCUACAGCAAAAGAAAUAUCAGGUCUAGUGAUUUUUAAGUAGUGCAACUUCCCAACUAAUCUUCUAUAUCUCCCAGGAUUUGCAUACGGCUCCCCCUCAUCUGGUAGAAGCUUGGAAUUAGGAUCCAUAGGACAAUCAAUUGGUUUGCAAUCUAGUAAACCAGUGUCUUUAAGUAUGUCCAGUGCAUAUUUUCUCUGUGAAACCACAAUGCCAUUCUUAGAUUGAGCAACUUCAAUACCAAGAAAGUACUUGAGCUUCCCUAAAUCCUUGGUCUGAAAAUGGUUGCACAAAUGUUUCUUUAAUUGAA